This 504-nucleotide ribosomal RNA is filed under the name uncultured bacterium. Its description in RNAcentral is "bacterial SSU rRNA". It matches the Rfam family "Bacterial small subunit ribosomal RNA", at positions 25 to 518 of the family's 1533-position model. The record is from RNAcentral.
CAGGAUGAACGCUAGCGACAGGCUUAACACAUGCAAGUCGAGGGGCAGCAUAAAAGUAGCAAUACUUUGGUGGCGACCGGCGCACGGGUGAGUAACGCGUAUGCAACCGUACCUAUCGAGAGGGGAAUAACCCGGCGAAAGUCGGACUAAUACCGCAUAAAACAGGGGGCACCGCAUGGUGAUAUUUGUUAAAGAAAUUCGCUGAUAGAUGGGCAUGCGUUCCAUUAGGUAGUUGGUGAGGUAACGGCUCACCAAGCCGACGAUGGAUAGGGGAACUGAGAGGUUGGUCCCCCACACUGGUACUGAGACACGGACCAGACUCCUACGGGAGGCAGCAGUGAGGAAUAUUGGUCAAUGGGCGAGAGCCUGAACCAGCCAAGUCGCGUGAAGGAAGAAGGAUCUAUGGUUCGUAAACUUCUUUUGCAGGGGAAUAAAGUGCAGGACGUGUCCUGUUUUGUAUGUACCCUGAGAAUAAGGAUCGGCUAACUCCGUGCCAGCCGCUGC